GGGAUAUGAUGAGUGGUCAUUACUCGCAAAUUAAAAAUAUGCGAGAUGGGCGUCCAGGCUCAGCCUCGUUACGACAUUUUGGGCGCUCUCAUUUUUAACCAAUCUGAUCCC
Molecule: non-coding RNA, 111 nt
Organism: Capsicum annuum
Lineage: Eukaryota; Viridiplantae; Streptophyta; Magnoliopsida; Solanales; Solanaceae
Source: Rfam